RNAcentral lists this small RNA (28 nucleotides) under Bombyx mori (domestic silkworm). RNAcentral's name for it is "piRNA piR-bmo-1422571". Lineage: Eukaryota; Metazoa; Arthropoda; Insecta; Lepidoptera; Bombycidae. The record is from RNAcentral.
UGAUAGUCGCCGUUCGUAGAUCCGUUGU